This 461-nucleotide ribosomal RNA is filed under the name uncultured bacterium. RNAcentral describes it as "bacterial SSU rRNA". It matches the Rfam family "Bacterial small subunit ribosomal RNA", at positions 917 to 1382 of the family's 1533-position model. The record is from RNAcentral.
GGACCCGCACAAGCGGUGGAUGAUGUGGUUUAAUUCGAUGCAACGCGAAAAACCUUACCUACCCUUGACAUGUCUGGAAUCCCGAAGAGAUUUGGGAGUGCUCGAAAGAGAACCAGAACACAGGUGCUGCAUGGCCGUCGUCAGCUCGUGUCGUGAGAUGUUGGGUUAAGUCCCGCAACGAGCGCAACCCUUAUCAUUAGUUGCUACGCAAGGGCACUCUAAUGAGACUGCCGGUGACAAACCGGAGGAAGGUGGGGAUGACGUCAGGUCAUCAUGGCCCUUAUGGGUAGGGCUACACACGUCAUACAAUGGCCGGUACAGAGGGCUGCCAACCCGCGAGGGGGAGCUAAUCUCAGAAAACCGGUCGUAGUCCGGAUCGCAGUCUGCAACUCGACUGCGUGAAGUCGGAAUCGCUAGUAAUCGCGGAUCAGCUUGCCGCGGUGAAUACGUUCCCGGGUCUU